GAUGAACGCUGGCGGCGUGCCUAAUACAUGCAAGUCGAGCGAACGGACGAGAAGCUUGCUUCUCUGAUGUUAGCGGCGGACGGGUGAGUAACACGUGGAUAACCUACCUAUAAGACUGGGAUAACUUCGGGAAACCGGAGCUAAUACCGGAUAAUAUUUUGAACCGCAUGGUUCAAAAGUGAAAGACGGUCUUGCUGUCACUUAUAGAUGGAUCCGCGCUGCAUUAGCUAGUUGGUAAGGUAACGGCUUACCAAGGCAACGAUGCAUAGCCGACCUGAGAGGGUGAUCGGCCACACUGGAACUGAGACACGGUCCAGACUCCUACGGGAGGCAGCAGUAGGGAAUCUUCCGCAAAGGGCGAAAGCCUGACGGAUCAACGCCGCGUGAGUGAUGAAGGUCUUCGGAUCGUAAAACUCUGUUAUUAGGGAAGAACAUAUGUGUAAGUAACUGUGCACAUCUUGACGGUACCUAAUCAGAAAGCCACGGCUAACUACGUG
Molecule: ribosomal RNA, 497 nt
Filed under: uncultured bacterium
Lineage: Bacteria
Description: partial 16S ribosomal RNA
Rfam family: Bacterial small subunit ribosomal RNA
Source: RNAcentral